GUGAACGCUGGCGGUAGGCCUAACACAUGCAAGUCGAACGGUAGCACAGAGGAGCUUGCUCCUUGGGUGACGAGUGGCGGACGGGUGAGGAAUGCAUCGGAAUCUACUCUUUCGUGGGGGAUAACGUAGGGAAACUUACGCUAAUACCGCAUACGACCUACGGGUGAAAGCAGGGGACCUUUUAGGCCUUGCGCGAUUGAAUGAGCCGAUGUCCGAUUAGCUAGUUGGCGGGGUAAUGGCCCACCAAGGCGACGAUCGGUAGCUGGUCUGAGAGGAUGAUCAGCCACACUGGAACUGAGACACGGUCCAGACUCCUACGGGAGGCAGCAGUGGGGAAUAUUGGACAAUGGGCGCAAGCCUGAUCCAGCCAUACCGCGUGGGUGAAGAAGGCCUUCGGGUUGUAAAGCCCUUUUGUUGGGAAAGAAAAGCAGCCGGCUAAUACCCGGUUGUUCUGACGGUACCCAAAGAAUAAGCACCGGCUAACUUCGUGCCAGCAGCCGCGGUAAUACGAAGGGUGCAAGCGUUACUCGGAAUUACUGGGCGUAAAGCGUGCGUAGGUGGUUGUUUAAGUCUGUCGUGAAAGCCCUGGGCUCAACCUGGGAACUGCGAUGGAAACUGGGCGACUAGAGUGUGGUAGAGGGUAGCGGAAUUCCUGGUGUAGCAGUGAAAUGCGUAGAUAUCAGGAGGAACAUCCAUGGCGAAGGCAGCUACCUGGGCCAACACUGACACUGAGGCACGAAGCGUGGGGAGCAAACAGGAUUANAUACCUGGUAGUCCCGCCCUAACGAUGCGAACUGGAUGUGGGUGCNCUUNGCACNCANUAUCNAACUAACNCGUUAAUUCCCCCCUGGGANUACGGUCNCANACUGAACUCAAGGAUUGACGGGGNCCCCCNANCGGGGAAUUGUGNUUAUUCAUGCACCNAAAACUNNCUGCCUNANUGCNNAANUUCNAANGGAUGGNCUCGANNNANNAGGNCUCAGNUNCNCNCCGNCGGAANUGGUAUCCCAANNCACNUNCUNUUC
Molecule: ribosomal RNA, 1025 nt
Filed under: Stenotrophomonas sp. BSD 39
Lineage: Bacteria; Pseudomonadati; Pseudomonadota; Gammaproteobacteria; Lysobacterales; Lysobacteraceae
Description: partial 16S ribosomal RNA
Rfam family: Bacterial small subunit ribosomal RNA
Source: RNAcentral